GGAGGGAGUCAGUUCAGCGUGUCCUGGGACUAGAAACAUUUGCCAGAUGUGUGUCAGAAACACAUGGUCUCGGGCUGGGCCCCGGACCUGCCGAGUCGGAAUCUGCACUUUUAAGAGGAGCCCAGCAGCCUUUAACACAGUGAAUGCAAACACCCAGAGGCAGAAGUCAAAGUAUCUAUCUACUUCUGAUAUUCAGUCUGGAAGCCAAGUGGCCCGAUGGAGGAUUGGGUGAGGUCAUCUUGUACUGACUGUAGAGAGCAGGCCCCUGGGAGAGCUGACCCUAGGCUGGUGAGGGAGCUGACAGGCUGGUGAAGGGGACUGGCAAGGCAACUGAUGACAGUCCAGUGUGAUCAGAGCCAGGGUGAAGACAAGCUGGCCCGGGGAGUCCAAGCUGGGAGCCUGCACUAGCCCUUCAGAGAGGCUGCCCCGAGAGCCCAGGGGAGAGUGAGACCUUUCCAGGUUGAGACAGCAGGUGCAGAGGCUAAGAGGCACCGAGCCGCAUGGCAAACGAGGGAAGCAGGGAUGUGAGAGGAGCUGAGGCUGGAAGGCACGGGGCCCUGUGCUGGGGUCCUCUUGCAGGAAGUCAGGACUCUGACCUUGUCAGAAAUUUGUAGGGAACCAAAGGUCCCUAUAGUCAGAGCUAUGGUUUUUCCAGUGGUCAUGUAUGGAUGUGAGAGUUGGACUAUAAAGAAAGCUGAGCGCCGAAGAAUUGAUGCUUUUGAACUGUGGUGCUGGAGAAGUCUUGAGAGUCCCUUGGACUGCAAGGAAGUCAAACCAGUCCAUCCUAAAGGAGAUCAGUCCUGGGUGUUCAUUGGAAGGACUGAUGCUGAAGCUGAAACUCCAAUACUUUGGCCACCUAAUGUGAAGAACUGACUCAUUGGAAAAGACCCUGAUGCUGGGGAAGUUUGAAGGCGGGAGGAGAUGGGGAUGACAGAGGAUAAGAUGGCUGGAUGGCAUCACCCACUCAGUGGACAUGAGUUUGAGUAAAUUCUGGGAGUUGGCGAUGGAUAGGGAGGCCUGGCGUGCUGCAGUCCAUGGGGUCGCAAAGAGCGACUGAGCGACUGAACUGAACUGAUAGUUUGGGGUUUUCCAAGUGACUCAGUGGUAAAGAAUCCACCUGCCAGUGCAGGAGACAAAGGAGAAACUCGGGUUCCAUCCCUGGGUCGGGAAGAUGCCCCUGGAGGACAGAGGAGCCUGGUGGGGCUACAGCCCCUGGGGCUCCAGAGAGUCGUACAUGACCGAGCAUGCACGCACUGAUGGUUUUAAGUAGGAAACUGAGGCUCAGAGAAGAGGCGGGCCUGGCCCAGGGCACUUCCAACCGUUCAGACCUGCGAGGAGUCAGGAGCUCCCAUCCACGGUUUUGUUUCAAUGCCUUGGGCUGUCACUGCAGGAUUAUCUCAGGUGAAAACAGGCUGCUACCACCAGCCCAGGUUCCGGAUGCUCUGACCUGGGGGAUGCCAGGCCCCGCCCCUCAUGUCCAGGCUCCGCCUCUCAUGCCCCGCCCCCCAACUGAAGAGUCUGAUCAGACUGAAAGGUCUCUGCCUCCCUCUCAUCCCUUCCCUUCUGGUUCCCCUCUUCGGAGUCUGGAGACCAAGGCAUGGAAAAGGAGCUGUUGCUCUCAAAAAGCGGCUUUGACAAUCCCGCUCCUCCCAUAGGCGGUCAGAGAA
Bos taurus (domestic cattle) is the source of this 1667-nucleotide long non-coding RNA. The record is from Ensembl. NCBI's taxonomy places the organism in Eukaryota, Metazoa, Chordata, Mammalia, Artiodactyla, Bovidae.